Molecule: ribosomal RNA, 253 nt
Filed under: uncultured bacterium
Lineage: Bacteria
Description: partial 16S ribosomal RNA
Rfam family: Bacterial small subunit ribosomal RNA
Source: RNAcentral
UACGGGGGGGGCAAGCGUUGUUCGGAAUUACUGGGCGUAAAGGGCUCGUAGGCGGCCAACUAAGUCAGACGUGAAAUCCCUCGGCUCAACCGGGGAACUGCGUCUGAGACUGGAUGGCUUGAAUCCGGGAGAGGGAUGUGGAAUUCCAGGUGUAGCGGUGAAAUGCGUAGAUAUCUGGAGGAACACCGGUGGCGAAGGCGGCAUCCUGGACCGGUAUUGACGCUGAGGAGCGAAAGCCAGGGGAGCAAACGGG